Molecule: ribosomal RNA, 1376 nt
Filed under: Pseudomonas aeruginosa
Lineage: Bacteria; Pseudomonadati; Pseudomonadota; Gammaproteobacteria; Pseudomonadales; Pseudomonadaceae
Description: bacterial LSU rRNA
Rfam family: Bacterial large subunit ribosomal RNA
Source: RNAcentral
GAGUCGUCUUUUAGAUGACGAAGUGGUUGAUGCCAUGCUUCCAAGAAAAGCUUCUAAGCUUCAGGUAAUCAGGAACCGUACCCCAAACCGACACAGGUGGUCGGGUAGAGAAUACCAAGGCGCUUGAGAGAACUCGGGUGAAGGAACUAGGCAAAAUGGCACCGUAACUUCGGGAGAAGGUGCGCCGGCUAGGGUGAAGGAUUUACUCCGUAAGCUCAGGCUGGUCGAAGAUACCAGGCCGCUGCGACUGUUUAUUAAAAACACAGCACUCUGCAAACACGAAAGUGGACGUAUAGGGUGUGACGCCUGCCCGGUGCCGGAAGGUUAAUUGAUGGGGUUAGCGCAAGCGAAGCUCUUGAUCGAAGCCCCGGUAAACGGCGGCCGUAACUAUAACGGUCCUAAGGUAGCGAAAUUCCUUGUCGGGUAAGUUCCGACCUGCACGAAUGGCGUAACGAUGGCGGCGCUGUCUCCACCCGAGACUCAGUGAAAUUGAAAUCGCUGUGAAGAUGCAGUGUAUCCGCGGCUAGACGGAAAGACCCCGUGAACCUUUACUGUAGCUUUGCACUGGACUUUGAGCCUGCUUGUGUAGGAUAGGUGGGAGGCUUUGAAGCGUGGACGCCAGUUCGCGUGGAGCCAUCCUUGAAAUACCACCCUGGCAUGCUUGAGGUUCUAACUCUGGUCCGUGAUCCGGAUCGAGGACAGUGUAUGGUGGGCAGUUUGACUGGGGCGGUCUCCUCCUAAAGAGUAACGGAGGAGUACGAAGGUGCGCUCAGACCGGUCGGAAAUCGGUCGCAGAGUAUAAAGGCAAAAGCGCGCUUGACUGCGAGACAGACACGUCGAGCAGGUACGAAAGUAGGUCUUAGUGAUCCGGUGGUUCUGUAUGGAAGGGCCAUCGCUCAACGGAUAAAAGGUACUCCGGGGAUAACAGGCUGAUACCGCCCAAGAGUUCAUAUCGACGGCGGUGUUUGGCACCUCGAUGUCGGCUCAUCACAUCCUGGGGCUGAAGCCGGUCCCAAGGGUAUGGCUGUUCGCCAUUUAAAGUGGUACGCGAGCUGGGUUUAGAACGUCGUGAGACAGUUCGGUCCCUAUCUGCCGUGGACGUUUGAGAUUUGAGAGGGGCUGCUCCUAGUACGAGAGGACCGGAGUGGACGAACCUCUGGUGUUCCGGUUGUCACGCCAGUGGCAUUGCCGGGUAGCUAUGUUCGGAAAAGAUAACCGCUGAAAGCAUCUAAGCGGGAAACUUGCCUCAAGAUGAGAUCUCACUGGGAACUUGAUUCCCCUGAAGGGCCGUCGAAGACUACGACGUUGAUAGGCUGGGUGUGUAAGCGUUGUGAGGCGUUGAGCUAACCAGUACUAAUUGCCCGUGAGGCUUGACC